This is a non-coding RNA of Anas platyrhynchos (mallard), 1476 nucleotides long. The record is from RefSeq and is a predicted model, not a curated record. Lineage: Eukaryota; Metazoa; Chordata; Aves; Anseriformes; Anatidae.
GUUCGUGUUUACAAUUUGAGGAAGAAGGCAGCAAUCGUAACAUCCAGCGUGCCUCCUCCUAAUUGCCUCUCUGACACGUGCCACAGUCAGGUUUGUGACGCAGGAAGGUUUCUGCUGCAGUACAGCUUUAGAAAAAGGAAGACCCACAGGAGAAAUCAUUUGAAUGUCACAGUGGGAUCAGCAACAGAGCAGGCAAAACUGGAGUGGCCCGUGAGUCUUGUUUUCCUAUGGGAUCAUAAAUACGUGACAUGGUGAAAGCAUGAUAACCUGCAGCAUCUGCGCUGAAUGCAGCUGGCUGCAGAGGGAUUCUGCAGAAGUUCCACCAACCCACUGCAUCUCUGUUUAUGCCAACAAUGUCUCUGUAUCAUUUUUUUAAUACAGAAUUGCAUCUUUUUACAUUCCCAAAGGCAAGAAAGCACUUUAAUGAGGACAUAAAAAUGUUCUGGCAGUACCUCUGUGCAUGUGUUGGAGGGAGGAAGAGUUUUUUAAGGCUUAUCAAAUGUUUGAAGGGAAAGACCAAAUAACUCUUUCUGCAAAUAUGACUAACUGUGAGAAAACUUUGCAGAGUGUGGUUCCCAAUUUUGAUUUUGCUUAUUUGUGCUUAUGUAAAUCUGAAAUAUACACACUGAAGUUAUCGAAGCUCCACUGACUUAAGCGAUUGCAGAAUUUACAUCAAAUUGUCCCCAGAGCUGUUUGUGCUGCUGUAAGAGGUUACAGUUCACAAUGGUAAGUGAGCUGAUAUGUUUAUGGGACAUUCUUCUGUGGAUAGUGUGAGAUACAGAGACUGUCAAACUAAUUCUCUUGAAUGGAUUUUUCUAUAGCAACACUGAAAAUAGCUCAUUUCCCUUUAGUUGUACUUAGGAAGCUUAGAGAUGUAGGAAAUUUACUUGUAACUAAAAAAAAAAAACACCUUUCUUUCAUUGGUGUUUAGGUAAUAUUCUUGUGAUCUUUUUUACAGUCUUCAAUUAGCAUAAAGCUGACAAUUUUUCAGGCCAUUUCUGUUGCUAUAAUAGGCCUUAUUAAGAGGCCCCAUUAUAGCAAAACUAGCCUUUUCUAGUUCUGGUCCAGGGAGCAGAAACAAUAUUUUAUUUGAAUUGCUCUAUCUCUAGGGAAAUAAUAACUUGCUCCUCCACCCUUUGAACUUGUUAGGGGUUUGUUGCAACUUUUUGGUAAACUAGCAAUGUUCCACACAAAGCAUUAGACUUACUGUAUCUAACAUUAGAUCGGAUGUGUUCGAUCAGAGAGUUUUCCUUAGGCAAUAGCUAAACACAAAGCUAAACCAAAUCAAAGCAAGAAUCGAAACAUUUUAUGGAAAGCCCUUAGUCUAAUUUCUCCCUUGCAUUCUCCCACCCUUCCUGUAAUUAAUAGAUUUAAUUAAUUUGUUGUUUUAAUAAGUCUUCCCUCAUCCAUCCUUCAUCUGAAAGCAGCAUUACUGCAUUGACAAAUAUGUAUUUCCAUAAAAAAAUAAAGCCUUAU